This 253-nucleotide ribosomal RNA is filed under the name uncultured bacterium. RNAcentral's name for it is "partial 16S ribosomal RNA". It matches the Rfam family "Bacterial small subunit ribosomal RNA", at positions 524 to 776 of the family's 1533-position model. The record is from RNAcentral.
UACGGGGGGGGUAAGCGUUGUCCGGAAUUAUUGGGCGUAAAGAGCUCGUAGGCGGUUUGUCGCGUCGGCCGUGAAAUCUCCACGCUUAACGUGGAGCGUGCGGUCGAUACGGGCAGACUUGAGUUCGGCAGGGGAGACUGGAAUUCCUGGUGUAGCGGUGAAAUGCGCAGAUAUCAGGAGGAACACCGGUGGCGAAGGCGGGUCUCUGGGCCGAUACUGACGCUGAGGAGCGAAAGCGUGGGGAGCGAACAGG